GGAAGGUCCGGGCGUUUAUCCGGAUUUAUUGGGUUUAAAGGGAGCGUAGGCCGGAGAUUAAGCGUGUUGUGAAAUGUAGACGCUCAACGUCUGCACUGCAGCGCGAACUGGUUUCCUUGAGUACGCACAAAGUGGGCGGAAUUCGUGGUGUAGCGGUGAAAUGCUUAGAUAUCGCGAAGAACUCCGAUUGCGAAGGCAGCUCACUGGAGCGCAACUGACGCUGAAGCUCGAAAGUGCGGGGUAUCGAACAGGAUUAGAUACCCUGGUAGUCCGCACGGUAAACGAUGGAUGCCCCGCUGUUGGUCUGAAUAGGUCAGCGGCCAAGCGAAAGCAUUAAGCAUCCCCACCUGGGAGUACGCCGGCAACGGUG
RNAcentral lists this ribosomal RNA (370 nucleotides) under uncultured organism. RNAcentral's name for it is "partial 16S ribosomal RNA". It matches the Rfam family "Bacterial small subunit ribosomal RNA", at positions 527 to 896 of the family's 1533-position model. The record is from RNAcentral.